RNAcentral lists this ribosomal RNA (301 nucleotides) under uncultured bacterium. RNAcentral's name for it is "partial 16S ribosomal RNA". It matches the Rfam family "Bacterial small subunit ribosomal RNA", at positions 509 to 807 of the family's 1533-position model. The record is from RNAcentral.
CAGUAGCCGCGGUAACACGAAGGGGGCUAGCGUUGUUCGGAUUUACUGGGCGUAAAGCGCACGUAGGCGGACUUUUAAGUCAGGGGUGAAAGCCUGGAGCUCAACUCCAGAAUUGCCUUUAAGACUGCAUCGCUUGAACGUCGGAGAGGUGAGUGGAAUUCCGAGUGUAGAGGUGAAAUUCGUAGAUAUUCGGAAGAACACCAGUGGCGAAGGCGGCUCACCGGACGACUGUUGACGCUGAGGUACGAAAGCGUGGGGAGCAAACAGGAUUAGAUACCCCCGUAGUCCCUGUCUCUUAUAC